GGAUUGUGGUUUAGUGGUAGAGCGCUCACCUAGCACAUGUGAGGCCCUGGGUUCAAUCUUCAGUACCA
This 68-nucleotide transfer RNA is filed under the name Marmota monax (woodchuck). RNAcentral describes it as "tRNA.Ala". Lineage: Eukaryota; Metazoa; Chordata; Mammalia; Rodentia; Sciuridae. The record is from RNAcentral.